AAAUUGAAGAGUUUGAUCAUGGCUCAGAUUGAACGCUGGCGGCAGGCCUAACACAUGCAAGUCGAGCGGAAACGAGUUAUCUGAACCUUCGGGGGACGAUAACGGCGUCGAGCGGCGGACGGGUGAGUAAUGCCUAGGAAAUUGCCCUGAUGUGGGGGAUAACCAUUGGAAACGAUGGCUAAUACCGCAUGAUGCCUACGGGCCAAAGAGGGGGACCUUCGGGCCUCUCGCGUCAGGAUAUGCCUAGGUGGGAUUAGCUAGUUGGUGAGGUAAGGGCUCACCAAGGCGACGAUCCCUAGCUGGUCUGAGAGGAUGAUCAGCCACACUGGAACUGAG
RNAcentral lists this ribosomal RNA (336 nucleotides) under Vibrio parahaemolyticus. RNAcentral describes it as "bacterial SSU rRNA". It matches the Rfam family "Bacterial small subunit ribosomal RNA", at positions 1 to 323 of the family's 1533-position model. Lineage: Bacteria; Pseudomonadati; Pseudomonadota; Gammaproteobacteria; Vibrionales; Vibrionaceae. The record is from RNAcentral.